This 551-nucleotide ribosomal RNA is filed under the name Brevundimonas sp. HPC284. RNAcentral describes it as "bacterial SSU rRNA". It matches the Rfam family "Bacterial small subunit ribosomal RNA", at positions 105 to 689 of the family's 1533-position model. Lineage: Bacteria; Pseudomonadati; Pseudomonadota; Alphaproteobacteria; Caulobacterales; Caulobacteraceae. The record is from RNAcentral.
GGUGAGUAACACGGUGGGAACGUGCCUUUAGGUUCGGAAUAACUCAGCGGAAACUUGUGCUAAUACCGAAUGUGCCCUUCGGGGGAAAGAUUUAUCGCCUUUAGAGCGGCCCGCGUCUGAUUAGCUAGUUGGUGAGGUAAAAGCUCACCAAGGCGACGAUCAGUAGCUGGUCUGAGAGGAUGACCAGCCACACUGGGACUGAGACACGGCCCAGACUCCUACGGGAGGCAGCAGUGGGGAAUCUUGCGCAAUGGGCGAAAGCCUGACGCAGCCAUGCCGCGUGAAUGAUGAAGGUCUUAGGAUUGUAAAAUUCUUUCACCGGGGACGAUAAUGACGGUACCCGGAGAAGAAGCCCCGGCUAACUUCGUGCCAGCAGCCGCGGUAAUACGAAGGGGGCUAGCGUUGCUCGGAAUUACUGGGCGUAAAGGGCGCGUAGGCGGAUCGUUAAGUCAGGGGUGAAAUCCCGGGGCUCAACCUCGGAACUGCCCUUGAUACUGGCGAUCUUGAGUAUGAGAGAGGUAUGUGGAACUCCGAGUGUAGAGGUGAAAUUC